GUAGGUACCGAGCGUUAUCCGGAUUUACUGGGCGUAAAGCGCGUUCAGGCGGUUUGGCAAGUCGGGCAUGAAAUCUCUCGGCUCAACCGGGAGAGGUUGUCCGAUACUGCUGGACUUGAGGGCAGUAGAGGGUGGUGGAAUUCCGGGUGUAGUGGUGAAAUGCGUAGAUAUCCGGAGGAACACCAGUGGCGAAAGCGGCCACCUGGACUGUACCUGACGCUGACACGCGAAAGCUAGGGGAGCGAACGGGAUUAGAAACCCCGGUAGUCCUAGCUAUAAACGAUGUUGACUAGGUGUCGACGGUCUAAACCCCGCCGGUGUCGGAGCCAACGCAUUAAGUCAACCGCCUGGGGACUACGGCCGCAAGGUUA
Molecule: ribosomal RNA, 371 nt
Filed under: uncultured bacterium
Lineage: Bacteria
Description: bacterial SSU rRNA
Rfam family: Bacterial small subunit ribosomal RNA
Source: RNAcentral